GACGAACGCUGGCGGCGUGCUUAACACAUGCAAGUCGAACGGAAAGGCCCUGCUUUUGUGGGGUGCUCGAGUGGCGAACGGGUGAGUAACACGUGAGUAACCUGCCCUUGACUUUGGGAUAACUUCAGGAAACUGGGGCUAAUACCGGAUAGGAGCUCCUGCUGCAUGGUGGGGGUUGGAAAGUUUCGGCGGUUGGGGAUGGACUCGCGGCUUAUCAGCUUGUUGGUGGGGUAGUGGCUUACCAAGGCUUUGACGGGUAGCCGGCCUGAGAGGGUGACCGGCCACAUGGGGACUGAGAUACGGACCAGAAUCCUACGGGAGGCAGCAGGGGGGAAUAUUGCACAAUGGGCGGAAGUCUGAUGCAGCAACGCCGCGUGCGGGAUGACGGCCUUCGGGUUGUAAACCGCUUUCGCCUGUGACGAAGAGUGAGUGACGGUAAUGGGUAAAGAAGCACCGGCUAACUACGUG
This 468-nucleotide ribosomal RNA is filed under the name uncultured bacterium. Its description in RNAcentral is "partial 16S ribosomal RNA". It matches the Rfam family "Bacterial small subunit ribosomal RNA", at positions 28 to 507 of the family's 1533-position model. The record is from RNAcentral.